GGGAAGUGCUGAGAUCAGCUUGGCUCAUGGGAGAAAGAUGGGGUGACUUAUAAGGAGGACUUCCCAUGUAUAAAUGAUUUUAACUGAAGCCUGUGGGGUGGCCUGUGUCGUAUAAAUACUGUGUUAUAAUGCUCACAUCUCUCCCUUGUAAAAUCACAGGAUAGCUUCCUACUGGCAUGCUGCCGCUGCUGUUACUGGGUCUCAGACCUUGCUGACUGAUCAUGCGGGUAGCAAACUUCUAUCUCCCUGCCAAGGCUGGUGGCCCAGCUGGCCUAGGACUGUACGUGGGAUCAGAUACAAUCAUGAAACAUGCAACCUGAUUAAUAAGGAGAGAAAGUAGCAUAUUAUGAAGUCCUGCUCUGGUAUUUCCCAAAGCGUGAAAACCCAAAGACUAGCAGAGGAAGGAAAUGUUGAAACCUGUGGGGGUCAUAAUGUGAUGACAAGUCAAACAGGAACAAGUAGCAUGCUUAACUGUGCAGAAGACUAAUUGACCACGCACCAAGGACACUCUCAGGAAGGGUGGGCCUAUGGUGUCUCUCUGGAUAGGCCCCCAGGGGGAGGGUGGUGGUGGCACCAGGUCUGCAUUGCAGUUGUCCAGCAGC
RNAcentral lists this long non-coding RNA (602 nucleotides) under Crocodylus porosus (Australian saltwater crocodile). Its description in RNAcentral is "lncRNA (ENSCPRG00005009796.1)". Lineage: Eukaryota; Metazoa; Chordata; Crocodylia; Crocodylidae. The record is from RNAcentral.